CCUACGGGAGGCAGCAGUGGGGAAUAUUGGGCAAUGGGCGAAAGCCUGACCCAGCAACGCCGCGUGAAGGAAGAAGGCUUUCGGGUUGUAAACUUCUUUUGACAGGGCAGAGCAGAAGACGGUACCUGUCGAAUAAGCCACGGCUAACUACGUGCCAGCAGCCGCGGUAAUACGUAGGUGGCAAGCGGUGUCCGGAUUUACUGGGGGUAAAGGGCGUGUAGCCGGGCUGACAGGUCAGAUGUGAAAUCCGGGGGCUCAACCCCCGAACUGCAUUUGAAACUGUUGGUCUUGAGUAUCGGAGAGGCAGGCGGAAUUCCUAGUGUAGCGGUGAAAUGCGUAGAUAGUAGGAGGAACACCAGUGGCGAAGGCGGCCUGCUGGACGACAACUGACGGUGAGGCGCGAAAGCGUGGGGAGCAAACAGGAUUAGAUACCCGAGUAGUC
RNAcentral lists this ribosomal RNA (442 nucleotides) under uncultured bacterium. Its description in RNAcentral is "partial 16S ribosomal RNA". It matches the Rfam family "Bacterial small subunit ribosomal RNA", at positions 338 to 795 of the family's 1533-position model. The record is from RNAcentral.